This 253-nucleotide ribosomal RNA is filed under the name uncultured Eubacteriales bacterium. RNAcentral describes it as "uncultured Clostridiales bacterium partial 16S ribosomal RNA". It matches the Rfam family "Bacterial small subunit ribosomal RNA", at positions 524 to 776 of the family's 1533-position model. Lineage: Bacteria; Bacillati; Bacillota; Clostridia; Eubacteriales. The record is from RNAcentral.
UACGUAGGGAGCAAGCGUUAUCCGGAUUUAUUGGGUGUAAAGGGUGCGUAGACGGGAAUUUAAGUUAGUUGUGAAAUCCCUCGGCUUAACUGAGGAACUGCAACUAAAACUGAAUUUCUCGAGUGCGGGAGAGGAAAGUGGAAUUCCUAGUGUAGCGGUGAAAUGCGUAGAGAUCGGGAGGAACACCAGUGGCGAAGGCGGCCUGCUGGGCUCUAACUGACGCUGAGGCACGAAAGCGUGGGUAGCAAACAGG